Molecule: ribosomal RNA, 253 nt
Filed under: uncultured bacterium
Lineage: Bacteria
Description: partial 16S ribosomal RNA
Rfam family: Bacterial small subunit ribosomal RNA
Source: RNAcentral
UACGGAGGAUCCGAGCGUUAUCCGGAUUUAUUGGGUUUAAAGGGUGCGUAGGCGGCCUACUAAGUCAGGGGUGAAAGACGGUAGCUUAACUAUCGCAGUGCCUUUGAUACUGAUGGGCUUGAAUGUACUUGAGGUAGGCGGAAUGUGACAAGUAGCGGUGAAAUGCAUAGAUAUGUCACAGAACACCAAUUGCGAAGGCAGCUUACUAAAGUAUGAUUGACGCUGAGGCACGAAAGCGUGGGGAGCAAACAGG